Molecule: long non-coding RNA, 813 nt
Organism: Asparagus officinalis (garden asparagus)
Lineage: Eukaryota; Viridiplantae; Streptophyta; Magnoliopsida; Asparagales; Asparagaceae
Exons: 2
Source: RefSeq, a predicted model, not a curated record
CUGGAACAAAAGAGGGGAACGAAUUACACCACUUCCGAUCUCGAGCUCGAUCGCCGAGGUCGUUCACCCGCUCCUCCGUCGUCGUUCUCUAGCUUGAGAGCCAGCUCCUCCGUCGUCGUUCUCGAGCUCGAUCGCCCGCUCCUCUGUCGCCCCCUCGAAGAGAUCCGACGCCAGCAUCGUCACCCUCAACGUCACCGUUCUCGAGCUCGAUAGCCCUAGCUGGGCCCACCAUCGUCAUUCUCGAGCUCGAUAGCCCUAGCUGGGCCACCUCCGUCCUCUCCGACCCCCUUCCCUUAAUCGACCGCGACCCCAACUCUGUCGCCGUUCUCGAGCUCGAGAGCCCCGAGCCGGGAUUUCCCCACCGCCAUCUCCUCCGCCUCCUCCUCCGCCGCCGCCUCCGUCGCCUCAACCGGCUCUCGAACCCAGGUGAACGGAGAUAGACUUGACAGAGAGUUGGGGCAUGCUCAGGGAAAUGCUUACUAUUCAAAUUUAUUUCAUGCAUCUUGUUGUCCGUUUUUAAGGAAAAUUCAACCAACAUUUGAUGCUCUGAGCUCCAUGUUUCCACAAAUAAGGCACCUGGCUAUUGAAGAAUCUUCUGCCAUGCCGAGGUACAGGCAUGAUGAGUAAAAAACCCCUUGCAUUUGUUGUUGUACGACAAGUAGAGUCUGGCAGUCUGCCAUCUUCUCGUGUUAUGUAUGGUUCUCGUGGGAACUGAUUCUUCUCAUUUUGGCUUGGGCACAUGUGAGCUAAAACCAUCAUGGUUGUAAAUUUUUGUGCACUUAACAUUUCUGUAUAUUAAAAGUGGUUAGUUUG